GAUGAACGCUGGCGGCGUGCCUAAUACAUGCCAGUCGAGCGAACGGACGAGAAGCUUGCUUCUCUGAUGUUAGCGGCGGACGGGUGAGUAACACGUGGAUAACCUACCUAUAAGACUGGGAUAACUUCGGGAAACCGGAGCUAAUACCGGAUAAUAUUUUGAACCGCAUGGUUCAAAAGUGAAAGACGGUCUUGCUGUCACUUAUAGAUGGAUCCGCGCUGCAUUAGCUAGUUGGUAGGGUAACGGCUUACCAAGGCAACGAUGCAUAGCCGACCUAAGAGGGUGAUCGGCCACACUGGAACUGAGACACGGUCCAGACUCCUACGGGAGGCAGCAGUAGGGAAUCUUCCGCAAUGGGCGAAAGCCUGACGGAGCAACGCCGCGUGAGUGAUGAAGGUCUUCGGAUCGUAAAACUCUGUUAUUAGGGAAGAACAUAUGUGUAAGUAACUGUGCACAUCUUGACGGUACCUAAUCAGAAAGCCACGGCUAACUACGUG
RNAcentral lists this ribosomal RNA (497 nucleotides) under uncultured bacterium. Its description in RNAcentral is "partial 16S ribosomal RNA". It matches the Rfam family "Bacterial small subunit ribosomal RNA", at positions 28 to 507 of the family's 1533-position model. The record is from RNAcentral.